AGUGAACGCUGGCGGUAGGCCUAACACAUGCAAGUCGAACGGCAGCACAGUAAGAGCUUGCUCUUACGGGUGGCGAGUGGCGGACGGGUGAGGCAUACAUCGGAAUCUACUUUUUCGUGGGGGAUAACGUAGGGAAACUUACGCUAAUACCGCAUACGACCUACGGGUGAAAGCAGGGGAUCUUCGGACCUUGCGCGAUUGAAUGAGCCGAUGUCGGAUUAGCUAGUUGGGGGGGUAAAGGCCCACCAAGGCGACGAUCCGUAGCUGGUCUGAGAGGAUGAUCAGCCACACUGGAACUGAGACACGGUCCAGACUCCUACGGGAGGCAGCAGUGGGGAAUAUUGGACAAUGGGCGCAAGCCUGAUCCAGCCAUACCGCGUGGGUGAAGAAGGCCUUCGGGUUGUAAAGCCCUUUUGUUGGGAAAGAAAAGCAGCAGGUUAAUACCCCGCUGUUCUGACGGUACCCAAAGAAUAAGCACCGGCUAACUUCGUG
RNAcentral lists this ribosomal RNA (492 nucleotides) under uncultured bacterium. RNAcentral describes it as "partial 16S ribosomal RNA". It matches the Rfam family "Bacterial small subunit ribosomal RNA", at positions 29 to 507 of the family's 1533-position model. The record is from RNAcentral.